AUGCUCCAGGAAGGGAGCGCCCCAGACUUCAUCGACAAGGUUGUCACGCUCUUCUGCGAGGAUGGCGAGCGUAUCAUCGGCGAGAUCGCCAAGCUGCUGGACAAGCCAUGUCUGGACUAUCACAAGGUGAGCCAUUUUGUGCUUGAACUCAAGGGAAGCAGUGCAUGUAUUGGUGCUCAGAGAGUGAAGAACAGUUGCAUUCAGUUCCAUCAGUGUUGUCAGGAGAAGAGCAGAGAUGGGUGCCUGAACUCACUGGAUUCUGUGAGGAACGAUUUCUAUGAUGUGUGCAGCAUGUUCAGGCCACAUGCUUCAGCGAUACCUUCUCCGGAAGAGGUGCGGCGGAUAUGU
RNAcentral lists this ribosomal RNA (348 nucleotides) under Triticum aestivum (bread wheat). RNAcentral's name for it is "partial small subunit ribosomal RNA". The record is from RNAcentral. Lineage: Eukaryota; Viridiplantae; Streptophyta; Magnoliopsida; Poales; Poaceae.